CCUUGACUGGCAACAGCACUGUGAAAUUUUUUCGUAACAAUGUGGAAAUAAUUCCUAGCGACAGAAUCAAAGUCAACGGAACAUUUCUCAUCAUGUCCGAUUUAAAAGUGUUGGAUGGUGGGCGAUAUUCAUGUAUUUUUGAUCAAAAUGGUAAAGAGAUGACUAUUAAAUUGGGUGUUCUUAUCAUCCGACGAGCAAGAAAAUAUGAAUUUAUGAUUUAUCCAAAAGAUGUGACCAGUAGAGUUACUGAAGGUUCAAACUUUGAAUUUCGUUGUGAGUAUGGAAAAGGAUCAACAAAAA
Xenia sp. Carnegie-2017 is the source of this 300-nucleotide long non-coding RNA. RefSeq lists it as uncharacterized. Lineage: Eukaryota; Metazoa; Cnidaria; Anthozoa; Malacalcyonacea; Xeniidae. The record is from RefSeq and is a predicted model, not a curated record. The transcript is spliced from 2 exons.